CGUGAAUUCAACGGCUUGUCUGAAAUGCCUGAGUGUACCCCACCUUGUGGCGUAUUCAGUGUGAUACAUCUUCACUGGAGUUGAUCCUUUCGGGGGUCGCGUCUGCAGGAGUUGUGGCUCUAUGCUUCCAACUGUCUCUGACGAGACAAAUCUUCUGACAAUUUGACCUCAAAUCGGGUGGGACUACCCGCUGAACUUAA
This 200-nucleotide unclassified non-coding RNA is filed under the name soil metagenome. RNAcentral's name for it is "partial contains internal transcribed spacer 2 and large subunit ribosomal RNA". The record is from RNAcentral.